Long non-coding RNA from Melitaea cinxia (Glanville fritillary), 1224 nucleotides. RefSeq lists it as uncharacterized. The transcript has 3 exons. Lineage: Eukaryota; Metazoa; Arthropoda; Insecta; Lepidoptera; Nymphalidae. The record is from RefSeq and is a predicted model, not a curated record.
UGAAAAUAUUUUAUCUAAAAAUGCUGAAUACGGCUUUCUCCCUUUGCCCUCUACUUCGCAGCCACCACAAGGACUUACUUUUGAAAAAACACUAGAUUCUACAUUAACUGAAUGUGAGAAGAUCCUGCUGAGUCAUUUGACUCAAACUAAAUUAAGCUUAAAGCGUUUGGUAGUCGAAAUGCGAACUGUGAGGAAGACACUAAUAAAUUGUUUGUAGCUUAUAACGAUAUUAGCGGGGUCCGCACUGACAUGCCUAAUAGAAAUAAUAAUGAUGACAUUCAAGUUGUUGAUGAGAUAGUUUAUCCUGUUUUGUCUUUGCCCAAUGAAAUCGAUUUCUUUUUAUAUGAAAAUUAUUUAUGUAACUUUUUGGAGCAGCCAGUAGUAUAUGUUAGUGGUUAUUUAGCUGCAAAAUUAUUAGAUAGAACGAAAUGUCAGAAAUGUAAAGAUUCGUUAAAAGUUGAUAAACCAGUAGACAACUUAAACAAUUAUAUUAGUUUUAAAGAAUGGUGGAAAGAUUCGAGCUCAUUGUGCUUUCCUUCUAAACCUUUAUGUCAUUUUGUAAACAAGAGCCAAAUUCAUUUCAAAGCUAUUAUAUCUCAGGACUUACAAAUUAAAAAUAUAAAGCAGUAGACUAGUUUGCAAUUAAGUAAUGAGCAUUUUAUAGAAAAAAACAAAUCAAUUAAUUCAUAAUCUUUGUUUAUUAUUCAUUAGAAAAUCAUGUAAAGACAAAAAUAUACAAUUAGAAUAAUGUGAUCAAGACAAAGCUUAGAUAACAAUUUUUAAGAUUCUUGUUGAAUAUUUAUAUUGUCAGUACUAUAAAACAAUGUUUGUAGAAAACAUACAUAUUGGCAGUUCUUCUUGACAUCUAAUGUCUUUGCAAUGUUUUUUGUUUUCCAAGUUUUUAAAUGUGUAUAUUUUAGCUUAGAAACAAAAAAAAAAAUCCGCUGUGGCUUCGCCCACAUAGAUUACGCGAUUUUCGCUAUUUCGUUUUCUCCCAUAAUCUGCUGUUCGUUUAUCCACAUACCAUUAAAUGGCGUACAUGGAAUUGUAGCAUCCCGUGAAAGAAUUUUUAAAAUCGAUAGUACUUUAUGGAAUUACCUACUACAAACAUUUAAUAAUACAAAAAUAAGAAUUUAGAAGAUUACUCUAAAUAUGUUCUUAUUAUGUUUGUAAAUCAUUAUGUUUUUUAUCUGUAUGCCUAGGAUCAUUAUAUAACGCUUUUCA